CUUCUUACCUUAAUGCCCUGUGUCAGAGCUGCCCACCCGGAGUUAGAGGUUUACUGCUCCCCUUACUUUCCAUUUGGGGAUCUUAAGUGUUUCAUCAGACGUGGAGUAUAGUAAGGAGACUCGGAGAAGAAGCUGGUACAAUUCAAAAGCAAGUGAACUAUUUCUCAAUAAGACUUGGAAUUCCAACUUCUGGUUAACUGUAAAUAUGAUUUGGAGGAAGAAGUAGCACAUCAGGGAGCUAAGUUCCUAGAUGGAGACUCCUUGAUCACCAGGAAGAUGGGCCAAGUGCUGGCCUAAGCAGGAGCAUGGCUGAGUUGAGAUGAGAUGAAAAGGAAGAGUCAGCUGAGGAGCUUCCUUGAGAAGGGAAAGGCAUGGGAGAAGACGAGUUUUGUCCUGAUUCUCACUUUUAAAUGUAGUCAUGUGAUGGCACAAUAC
Long non-coding RNA from Gorilla gorilla gorilla (western lowland gorilla), 435 nucleotides. RefSeq lists it as uncharacterized. NCBI's taxonomy places the organism in Eukaryota, Metazoa, Chordata, Mammalia, Primates, Hominidae. The record is from RefSeq and is a predicted model, not a curated record. The transcript has 3 exons.